This 245-nucleotide ribosomal RNA is filed under the name uncultured bacterium. Its description in RNAcentral is "partial 16S ribosomal RNA". It matches the Rfam family "Bacterial small subunit ribosomal RNA", at positions 524 to 768 of the family's 1533-position model. The record is from RNAcentral.
UACGUAGGUGGCAAGCGUUGUCCGGAUUUAUUGGGUUUAAAGGGUGCGUAGGCGGUCCAUUAAGUCAGCAGUGAAAUACGGCAGCUCAACUGUCGAGGUGCUGUUGAUACUGGUGGACUUGAGUACUGAUGAGGUAGGCGGAAUGGACGGUGUAGCGGUGAAAUGCUUAGAGAUCGUCCAGAACACCGAUAGCGAAGGCAGCUUACUAAGGAGUAACUGACGCUGAGGCACGAAAGUGUGGGGAU